This 495-nucleotide ribosomal RNA is filed under the name uncultured bacterium. RNAcentral describes it as "partial 16S ribosomal RNA". It matches the Rfam family "Bacterial small subunit ribosomal RNA", at positions 28 to 507 of the family's 1533-position model. The record is from RNAcentral.
GACGAACGCUGGCGGCGUGCCUAAUACAUGCAAGUCGAACGCUGAAGGAGGAGCUUGCUUCUCUGGAUGAGUUGCGAACGGGUGAGUAACGCGUAGGUAACCUGCCUGGUAGUGGGGGAUAACUAUUGGAAACGAUAGCUAAUACCGCAUAAUAGCAGUUGUUGCAUGAUAACUGUUUGAAAGGUGCAAUUGCACCGCUACCAGAUGGACCUGCGUUGUAUUAGCUAGUUGGUGGGGUAACGGCUCACCAAGGCGACGAUACAUAGCCGACCUGAGAGGGUGAUCGGCCACACUGGGACUGAGACACGGCCCAGACUCCUACGGGAGGCAGCAGUAGGGAAUCUUCGGCAAUGGACGGAAGUCUGACCGAGCAACGCCGCGUGAGUGAAGAAGGGUUUCGGAUCGUAAAGCUCUGUUGUAAGAGAAGAACGAGUGUGAGAGUGGAAAGUUCACACUGUGACGGUAUCUUACCAGAAAGGGACGGCUAACUACGUG